AUGUCACCGCUUUUUUUUUCUUCUUUUUUUUUUUUUUUUUUUAAAACAUUCCCAACUUUAUUAAGCAGAAUAUUUCCCCACCUUAAAACCACUAAUUAAACAACCUUAAAAUGAUCACCAAUAUCUUAACAAUUAAAUCAAAAGCAUAAAAAAGAAACAAACUUUAUAUUCAAUCCCCAACAGCCAACCCACUCACCUUUAGGGAGUGUCUUGAACAACUUGUUAAAAAAGAAACUGAAACUUCAAUGUUCUAACCAUCACCAACUAACCGCCACCGGACUUCCGACCACAUACUUCCCAUCCGACCACUCGAUCCGACCAAACGCAUUCGAACCCGCUGCCAUGUCACCCACCGUAAAUGUCACCGUGUACGAUUGUUUCUCAUUGACUUUAGAAAAAGUCAAAGUAUUAGGAACCACGGACAUUUGUACCCCUUUGCUAUCAGAGAAUGUAGUAACCUUGUAAGUCGAUGCGGGACCGACAUUAGUCAAGGUUCUAGUGUGUUUAACAACUGUAGAUCCGGUUUUACCGGUCGAAUCCGAUGAAACCACAACCGCAAAAGACGGAUAGUUAAGAUUACCAAUUGAGUAACUUUUAGUGGUGUCACAAGUAGUGUUUCUUUUUGUCACAACUUGUAUUUGGGCCGGGGUAUAAUUUAACGCACAUAGGAAAUCAAAAUAAUCAUCCGCGGUUAAAUCAUACACCAACCCAGGAUUAACCGCGGAUACAGGAUCCACGUGUCCUGCACCGUGAUCAAAUGGUGUAGACGGUUUUCCUGUGGCUAGAUCUUCAAUAAUCUUUCCAUUUUUGUAAGCCGUGUAUGCGGUCGUCAUUAGGGCAGACCUGAUCGCGGCCGGACUCCACUCCGGCCGCGCCGCCUUCAGCAACGCUGCAAGCCCGCUAACGUGCGGACACGACAUCGACGUGCCGGAGAUUAUAUUAAACUCCACGCGCCGGGUGUCAUCUGGUAAACCAGUUGGACCAACCGCCCCGGACCAACCCGCCAGGAUAUUGACCCCCGGUGCGAUGAUAUCCGGUUUCAAAAUCUCCGGCGUGAUCGUGUUCGGUCCCCGGGAACUAAACGACGCCACCACCGGCGACGGCUGAAUUCCCAGCUUU
This 1119-nucleotide long non-coding RNA is filed under the name Helianthus annuus (common sunflower). RNAcentral's name for it is "hypothetical non coding rna". The record is from RNAcentral. Lineage: Eukaryota; Viridiplantae; Streptophyta; Magnoliopsida; Asterales; Asteraceae.